This 314-nucleotide long non-coding RNA is filed under the name Hordeum vulgare. RNAcentral's name for it is "long non-coding RNA (HVUL_LNC017940)". The record is from RNAcentral. Lineage: Eukaryota; Viridiplantae; Streptophyta; Magnoliopsida; Poales; Poaceae.
GCCACAGGUGCCGCAACUCGCUGGUGACUCAUCCCAUGUUCGUCACAGGCGCCGCAACUCGCCGGUGACUCGCCUCCAUGUUAGCCACCGGUGCCACAACUCACCGGCGACUCACCUUCAUGUUAGCCACCGGUGCCGCAACUCGCCGGUGACUCGCCUUCUUGUUAGCCACCGGUGCCGCAACUCGCCGGUGACUCGCCUUCAUGUUCGCCACCGGUGCCGCAACUCGUCGGUGACUCACUUCAUGUUGUCGAUGAUGACGCACCUUAUCGACGACUCGCACAUAGAACUCCUUAUGGCAAUGGCCUCCGAUC